UACGUAGGGUGCGAGCGUUAAUCGGAAUCACUGGGCGUAAAGCGCACGUAGGCGGAUCUUUUAAGUCGGGGGUGAAAUCCCAAGGCUCAACCUUGGAACUGCCUUUGAUACUGGGGAUCUCGAGUCCGGAAGAGGUUGGUGGAACUGCGAGUGUAGAGGUGAAAUUCGUAGAUAUUCGCAAGAACACCAGUGGCGAAGGCGGCCAACUGGUCCGGUACUGACGCUGAGGUGCGAAAGCGUGGGGAGCAAACAGG
Molecule: ribosomal RNA, 254 nt
Filed under: uncultured bacterium
Lineage: Bacteria
Description: partial 16S ribosomal RNA
Rfam family: Bacterial small subunit ribosomal RNA
Source: RNAcentral